AGUCAAUAAGCUAAUAGGGUUCCACUUGGUCCUCCUAUGAAGCUUCAGACUAUGGCCUGAUUCCUUAGGCCAAGCUUUGCUCAAAACUGCCCAACCCGUUUGUUCACUUGCUGAAUGGCUUGGUGACCUGCCUGCUUUCAUACUCAAUUACUUUCUGGGUGGGCCUUUGUUCCCACCAGAUAUGCAACUGACUAUUCACACAAUUACAUAGAUGCAAACAUUUCUCCUGCUUCUGUACAAGCAUCCCAGUUAAAGGUAAAGGGACCCCUGACCGUUAGGUCCAGUCAUGGCCGAUUCUGGGGUUGCGGCGCUCAUCUCGAUUUAUUGGCCGAGGGAGCGGCGUACAGCUUCCGGGUCAUGGGGCCAGCCUGACUAAGCUGUUUCUGGCGAACCAGAGCAGCGCACAGAAACGCCGUUUAACUUCCUGCCGGAGCGGUACCUAUUUAUCUACUGGCACUUUGACGUGCUUUCGAACUGCUAGGUUGGCAGGAGCAGGGACCGAGCAACGGGAGCUCACCCCAUCGCGGGGAUUCGAACCGCCGACCUUCUGGUCGGCAAGUCCUAGGCUCUGUGGUUUAACCCACAGUGCCACCCAUGUCCCUACAAGCAUCCUAAGAAUACACAAAAGAAGCAAGCCAGCUGUGAGAAGCAGCCCACCAUCACUGGAAGAACUGCUCCAAAUCAUUUUGUUGCCCAAGGCAGAGCAGCAAACUGGGUUCCCCACCCCACCUCCAAGUCAAUGUACAUAGUGCCCAAGGCCCUUUGCCACUUGGGACAGAAAAUCUCACAAGCAUCUUCCCCCAUUGGUCAAAAUACCACCACAAUAAAUUAAACAGUGAACCAUUUGCUUCCCUUUCAUGUCACUGAAAAUUAACUACUUGAGGGCCCUCUGGCCAAUGGAAAGGCAGACCUCAGUCACUGUCAUUUAUGGAAAAUAAUUACAAGCUGUAACAUAUGACGUCAUUGGGCAGCAAGGCAGUGUGCCCCAUGUUCAGCCACCUUCGUUAAGGUGGCAUCAAUUUUAUAUGAUGGAAAAGUGAGGCAUGCUUUUCUUGUGAAAACAGACCUGCAGUUAACAUUAAGCUAAUAAAUGAAAGUUGAGAUUUCUAUUGCAGAAAAUGUGUGAGCCAACAUUCAGUCCAGAAGCUACUAAUGCUUCUAUUAUAAAAUGAUAAAUGUCACAGCCAUAAUCGGAAUUUUUCAAGGGUUUCAGUGCGUUUGUUUUUACACUGAAAGCCAAUGCAUUAAUAAAGCAAUUGAAGGAGUAGGCAUUUAAGUCUAUGAAUGUCAGUUGCAAGGUUUCACAUAUGUCAUUCUGCAGUAAUAAAAGACUUCAUAUAUAAGUGGUGGGGCCAAACAUCGCUAUUUUUAUUUUUUAUUAGGAAGCCGUCAGGACAAGAAUGCAAGCAAAUGGAAGAGAAAAAUGAAGGCAACACCAAUUAAUCAGUUCCCCUGGUGACAUUUUAAUGCAUUAUUGGUACAAUUAUUCCAAAAUGUCCUCAAAGGAUCACCACACCUGCCUUUUUCAGAGUUCAUUUUUCACUGAGUUUAACAAGCGGCCUUUCUGAUUGGCUUUCAUCUCCCAAGGUACUGUGCCCUUUUAUCCCUCUCCUUCUAAGUAGAGCAGAAGAAGUUACUGUAAAUAUCAGGUAUACUGAAAAACAGUAUCUUUAUACUGUGCUUCCUUCCAUGGCCACUUAUGCUUUAUCCUUUCACCGAGUGGUUCACUUCCGUACUAAGGACAUAUUUCCAUAUACCGUAUUUCUCUGUGUAUAACACAAUGGGUUUUUUAUUUUAAUAACAUGUUCAAAAUUGGUAGUCGUCUUAUACACGGACAGUGCAGAAGGGGGGGACAGGUGAUUGUUGGCAGCUGUGAGCAGGAGAUUGGGCAUGUGAUUGGUGGCUGCUGGUGGUGAGCAGUCAGAUGAUUGGUGGCUUUGUUGAGGCAGGUGAGUGAUCAAUCCCCUAUCCCAAAAAAAAAAGCUCAACAACUCUGAGCAAUCCCCCCCCCCAUUUCCUUAAACGUGGGGGCGUGUUAUACACUGAAAAAUAUGGUAUUUUGGUAUGUUCACCUCACCAAAGACUUUUCAUGUGGGGACAUUGUCCAUGAAAGGGCAGGGAUGGAAGGCUAAGGAAGGAAGGGAAUGGCAUGGGAAAGAGGAACUCCACCUAGCAGUCUGCUGCCCUAGGUGUCUGGUUCCCUUGAGGGAGGCCUCCUCAGCUGGAACAGUUGGCUUGGGAAUGAGGGCCUGGCCAGGAGUGGAGGAAAGGCGACAGACAGCAUGCAUGGCUGGAGCUAAGAAGCAGGGUGCAAGUCACCCUUUUACUCUGCCUUAUUUUAUUUUUGUGUGUUUAUUUAACGACUAAAGCGAAAGGCCUCUAAGCAGUUCGCGAAAGACAAAACUAAAAUAUUCGUUUAAAACAAACUGCCUAGGGUUGUAGCCAACUAACCGUUGCUCAGUUGAGGGACCUAAGUGAGUCCGGUCUAUUCAUUUCAAUGGGUCUACUGUGAAAAAUGACUAAGGCUAGAUACAACCCAUAACAAUUUUAAAGUAUAAAAUAAAACCUGUGUCCUGUGGUUGGGAAGACAGAAAGAGGGUAUGUGGUGGGUUUGUGUGUGUGUGUGUGUGUGUGUGUGUGUGUGGAGGGGAGGGUUAGGGAUUUGUCUGUAAGAGAAAAAAAGUGAGUGAGUGCACGAGUUUGUGUCACUUCUCUGGCCCCACCAACUGCAGUCAUGAGGCCAUCUUCAAAUAUCUUAAGGGCUGUCACAUGGAGGAGGGAGCAUGCUUGCUUUCUUCUGAUAUGGUGGGUAGGACUCGAACCAAUGGCUUCAAGUUACAAGAAAGAAGAUUCCGACUAAACACCAGGAAAAUCAUUCUGUCAGUAAGAGCUGUUUGGCAGUGGAACAGACUCCCAUGAGAGGUGGUGGGCUCUCCCUCCUUGGAGGUGUUUAAGCAGAGGGUGGAUGGCCAUCUGUCAUGGAUGCUUUAGCUGGGAUUCCUGCAUUGCAGGGGGUUGGGCUAGAUGACCCUUCCAACUCUAAGAUGAACGAACAGACACAUAAUACUGGUGAAAUGUUGCUACUGGCACUGUAUUGGUAGUGCAGUAUUAUUGCUGCAAUCAUUCAGCAUGCUGCUUGCACUGCCUUGCCUGCCCUUCCAUUUCUAUCUGAAACAUCCAUUAAGUUUCUUAUUAACAAUGGGGGCUUAAUGAAAACCAUACAUUUCACAAUGAGUGCCUGGCCAUGCAUGGCAUUUGUUUGGAAAGGGGAUUACUCCUCUCUAGGAAAAUGAUGGGAGAUUAAAGCAUUAAAAAUGUAUGGCGUGUAAUUAGUUUAUCACUGACAGAAUUUGGGGAGCGGGGAGGGAGCACUCCUAACAAAACACACGAGACACUAGCAAGGGAUCGCUUGGAAAGAUCAACGCUGGUUCUAACAACCAGGAGAGAGAAAUUAGGAAUCCGCCAUCAAUGCAAUGGUUCGGCUUUGAUAUGAAACUUUGCAGCACCAGGGAUUCCUCUCCAAUGGGCUACUUCUGUGCAGGACACUGAUGUAUCUGUCAACCCCCCUUUCACUUUCAUCAAAAAUGGGAGCUAGGUGGCCCCCCCAAGUAGGCUACAUUAAUAUUGCUUAAAAUAUGAAAGGACAUCAAGAUGCAGUGGUACCUCGGGUUACAUACACUUCAGGUUACACACGCUUCUGGUUACAGACUCUGCUAUUCCAGAAAUAGUGCUUCAGGUUAAGAACUUUGCUUCAGGAUGAGAACAGAAAUCAUGCUCCGGCGGCGCAGCAGCAGCAGCAGGAGGCCCCAUUAGCUAAAGUGGUACUUCAGGUUAAGAACAGUUCCAGGUUAAGAACGGACCUCCAGAACGAAUUACCGUAUUUUUUGCACCAUAACACUCACUUUUUUCCUCCUAGAAAGUAAGGGGAAAUGUCUGUGCGUGUUAUGGAGGGAAUGCCUACGGGUGGCAUGCCUACGGAUUUUCCUCCUCUAAAAACUACGUGCGUGUUAUGGUCGGGUGCGUGUUAUAGAGCGAAAAAUACGGUAAGUACUUAACCCGAGGUACCACUGUAUUCUGCAACAGCGUCUUUGUUACCCUCAGCAUUUAUUCCCAGUGGCUGUUUCCAGGGAAAGUUGAACGAACCACCAGGAGCAGAAAAUGAACAGCAACUCCUCUUCCAACACAGGCAACAUUCACAUGUAACACUAAGCCAAACUAUCGCUUGAAGCAAAUGUGCUAGCUCCCAGGGAGGAAAUAUCACCUGCAUUGUGCCGUCCAGUACUUUAGCUCCAUACAGCAUGGCAGCUAAGCCAAGGUUUGACUUAGUGUGUCAUUUGAACCCAAGAUAGUGAUUAAGUGGUCCUUAACCACGACCUGCAGCCAAGGCUUCUUUCAUAUUCUACCUUCCAAUGAUGUGCAAAUCAAGCCACAGUGUAAUACUGUUUCUCUUACAAUCAUUAAAGCUGGUCUAGGUAAGGCAUUAUAUAUAGUCCUUAUUCCAGAAAUGCAUUCCACAUACAAUACUAUGAAAACAGUCACAGGAGAAUGUCAUUCUAGAAGAAAGAUUCAAAUCAAUUUUAAAAACGUUGUUGCUAUUGUUGUUUAUAUUUAUCAGUUGCCUUAUGUGAUAUAAAGUUCUAGGUGAUGUGCAAUGAGGUACCAAGCAAAUGAUUACAGCACAUCAAAAUACAAAUAAUAAGCAACAGACUGGUGGUUUCAUAUGAUUUUCAAUCAUAUAAUUAAAGAAAACAAGCUUUACCUUCAGCCUCUGAAAAGGCAGCUGCAAUAUUUUCUCAAGAAAUCAAAGACAGAUAGAAAAUGAAAAAAGAGAGGCGGAUUGAAUCUUUUAGUAUGCGCUGUGGAAACUCAGUCAAGCAGUUAAGCUCACCAGAGAAAACAGCUGUUUAGCAGAGCUGUCUUUACUAGGACAACACCAACACGUACAGAUACACACACUUUACAUAUGUUGCAAGUGGUCUUCCCUCUCUGAACCCAGAGAGGAUUAUUUGCUUCAAAGUCAUUGCUGUGUUUAAAGUCCACAGCCAAGUCCUUAGUUCAACUGCUUGCAGAAUCCUACAAGUGAUAUAGAGUUCUCUGAGUUCUUAAAUCUGGCAAUUUUCCAACUUCUUCCUCAGAUGACCUCUUCAAAAAGCCUUCACUUGAAUUCACAAUUCCAACACAUAGCCUUCAACAAGUCCUGCAAUCUCCUACCAUGAUCCACAUAGUAUACUGUAACUUGAGCCCUUUUAUGUCAAAUCUGCCCAUAGCCACUUCUGACACCUUGAAAAGAACAAGUUUAUCUAGGAAGCACUAAAGUUUAUCCUAGUUGACCAAUCAAAUAUUUAUUCAACUCCUUUUUAGAACAGUUUCCUCUUCUACCUUAACAAAGACUGUUCCAGAAUUCUUCUCAUCAGAACACAAACUAAUAUCAGCAUUAUACCACCAAAUUCAGGGCUGCUGUGUGAACACUCUGAUAUCACAGAAACCUGGGUGGUAGUUUUUUGAUCUCUGAUAGUCUGGAACAGCAUUACUGAUCUGCUUCAAUGGCAUUUUUAGGCAGUUGGUUAAUUUUUUUGGUCCUCAAUCCUCCAGGUUUUGAGAGAGUACUUGAGAUAUGGAUUUUAUUUCUAAUUAAGCAACUAUUUUAGUCUUUAAAAUAAUGUGAUGUUAUGAUGUUAUGUUGUUAUGUUAUGUUAUGUUAUGUUAUGUUAUGUUAUGUUAUGUUAUGUUAUGUAUUGUUUGGUUUACAAGCAAACCAUCUAACAGGGGAAGUUGCCAUUAUUAUUAUGUAAAUGUACUUACUGUUAAAUUUGUAGGCUGCUUUUCCAUUUAAAUAUCAACAACAACAACAAUAAUAAUGGCAACUUCCCUGUUAGAUGGUCUGCUUGUCAUGUUGUGAAUGUUCAUAAAUAUUCUAACUACUCAGUAGCAAAUUGUCAGCACAAAAAUGGACUGUGAUGCUGCAGUGAAAGAAGAAAACUGAGUAUCCAGAGUGCAACUUUGUUUGUUUGGAACAGCACUUUGAUGUAUAUGUUUGUUUGUGGUGGUAACAGUACCACCACAAACAAAACAACCACCUAAUGCAAAUAACCACCACCUCCAGGGGCAAUGCAUAUUGUGGAAUCUGUUUUCACUGCUAGAGUUCAAACCUGGAAAAGAUGAACUAAUAAAGAAAGCGUGCUUCCAAAUUUAUGGGAUUUGGGGUAUGUGAACCCAAAAUGAAUGAGAACACACCUGCCUGUGUCAGAAGGAGCUCAUUAAUAAUGUUUGUGAUCUUCAGAUCUUUCCUAGCAAUGCAAAAUAUUCUAUUACAAUUAGGCAGAGCUGCUAUUAUACAGCACCUUUUGUAUGGUGUCAGGCAGUAAUUAACUUGCUCGAGAUAAAACAGUAGGCAACUGUGAAAAUAUUUAAGCACCAUUUUUCCCCCUGACCUAAGUGCCACACGCACAUAAGAAUGUGAAUCCCACCUGGCACGCAGGUAAUUGUUAUCAGCUGAGUAAUACUUGGGACUCACACUUUUCCUUUACUUAAAUACCAAUGUUUCCAUUGCUAGGUUCUCUAUCUCACACACUGUGUGUCUGUAUGAGUCUUAUGCACUAGCAAAUACUCCCCACAAGAGACAUGAACUCAAAGCCUAGAGGGCUAGAAUGGAGCUCUGGUUAAAAGAUUAAGCUGUGAAUGAAAAUGACCCAGCUCAAAUUUGAACUCGCUCUACUGCCCUAGGCAAGCUGCUCUCUCCAGGCACCGCCUGUUCCUGGCACUUGUACAUUCCGGGGGGUGGAAACUGAGAGUUGGCAUAAGGAAUAGCCAGUAGUGGACAGUGUGGCUGGACAACGCUCAUCAGAUGUCCCAAACAGUUGAGCUGUUGCUGCUUACUAGGAAGGAGCGGGGUUAUGGCAAGGAGUUUGGUGCUCUGCAAACACAUUGGUGGAGCCAAUCUGGCACUCUUGCUGGUGCGUCUACACUGUGCUGACCUCCUUGUUGCCUCCCUGCUCCCUCCUAGUAAGCAGCAGUGACUCAGCUUUGUACGCUAUUCCAACCACAUAAAAACCAGAGCUUCCUUCACACACCUCUCUCCAAUCCUGCAUAUGGGCAGGCAUGCAAGAAGCAUAGUCACACUUCAAGGCACUUGAAGCGGGUGGUGAAGCCUAGGGAAAGGCACUUGAGAAACAAGGAAGGGGGCAGAAUGAAGGGCCUGGAGGUUCCCUUGCCCCUCUGCUUUAGAAGGACUUCUCUAACUCCUGCAAAGUUAAGUUUCAGCCCACCAGCCCUUUAUACUUGGCAUGCUCAUUCAGUUUAGAUUUAUUUUACUAAUAUACGUUGAGGGACUGGGGCACGUAGCUUGGCUCGCUGUCCAGAAAAAAUCUUUCUCCCCUUCAAAAGUAAGGCAUAACACUGAAAUGCAAGAAUAUGACCCAGCAGCACGUACGCAAGCAGAUAAACUUCUCCCACCUGAGCUUCUAUUACACUCCUGUACGCUGGCAACCCACCUGCAAUAUUCACAGGAGAGCCUGGGGGGCUUAAAUAACUGACACUGCAGCCGAGCAAGCAAGAUAAUUUUUUUGAUGGAAAGUUAUUGCGUCUGUGCACUGUAAAAGAAGGUUUGCUGAUAUUGGUGCCCAACAUGGCACACUUUAUAGACUGGGAGGAUUGCUCUCUGCAGCAUAGGGGUCGUAUAAAUAAAAGAAGCAAUCCCCCCACCCCCACAUAGAUACAUGCACGUGCUCGUGCUUGCAUGCUCAAGCACACCCAUAUCCACCCGCCAAGAGUUUGCACUCUGUUUUUAUCUUGUUCAGGCAUAAAUCAAAUGUAAUCAGAUUUUCGGCUGUCUCCUGAAGCGAACACCGGGCCACAAUUCAACAGUUAAACACGCUUAAACCCACUGAAAUCCACCCUUCAUAUUCAUCUCUGACCUCUUCCCCUCAAAAAAACUGAGUUAUAAAAACCUUGCUGCAUCAGAGCUGAAAAAUAGUCAAUACACAAGACUUUUAAAUGUAAGUCUGAAAGGCAAGAUCCCAUAUAUUGUCAAGUACCAUUCCUUUCCAAAUACUACUUUUGUCUCAAAUAGCAAUGCCACCAUGACAAUCUUUACACAGUUACCGAUUUAUAAUACACAAGGACAUAUUUAUUGCAUUGAACAGGCAUCUCUAAAACAGGUAAGAGUUUACUUAAAUGCAUUGAUCACCUCAAAUAAUAGCUAACCUUAUUGGUUAGGAAAUUGUUUGAGCAUCAUAGCAACAAUGGAGGAGUUGUAUUUAUUUACAAUAUUGUUUCCAAAGCAGCACCAAUAUGUAUAAGAGAAAAAUAUGGAAAUGCUUAUUUAGAGAAAACUAUAGUUCUUUCAGUUAUAUUAAAUACCAUGAAAAGGGGGGGGGGGACCACACUUCAUGGGCAUCUGGAAACAGUGGACAGAGUUUUGUACAAUAUUUAUUUCAUUUUCCAGUGCAGUGGAGAAAAACUGCCAUCAUCCUGAUUGUCCCAGACACCCAAUUGCUUGAACUGCACAGUCCAAAUUCUGCUACAUCAACUCAUUUUGUGUUUGUGAUGGCAAAGGAGGUUCUGCCUGUUUUAAAAACUUCAGAACUUUGUUUUGAAAACCACAUUGGUGAGGAAUGUAUGCUACGUAUGCCCAACUCCAUUGGAUACAGCAAAAAACAACAACCUGAC
Molecule: long non-coding RNA, 8667 nt
Filed under: Podarcis lilfordi (Lilford's wall lizard)
Lineage: Eukaryota; Metazoa; Chordata; Lepidosauria; Squamata; Lacertidae
Source: RNAcentral